CUUUGGGAAACGGAGAGUCACUCUCAUUCAGCAGAUCCAGCUCCACUCCAAACGCCACCUACAGAUGAUAUAAAAACAGAGGAUUGACAACAUCUUACAACAUGAUAAGGUACCUAACAAUACACAGCAAUGAUGGAUGGAUGAACAGAUGGAUGGCUGGAUGGAUAGAUCAAUGGAUUAUUACACCAUGUGAAAUGGAUAAGUGACUUACAGACUGCUGAAGGCAGGGUCCAUUAUUCUUCGCUGUUUGUACCACUCAUCAUGAUUCUGUGCUGUGACCAGGCCAUUUCCAAAAAACCUAUGAAGAAGGACAACAGAGUAUUUACCCUAAGACUGAAUAAACUGACCAGUGACCAAGUUG
Salmo salar (Atlantic salmon) is the source of this 361-nucleotide long non-coding RNA. RefSeq lists it as uncharacterized. The record is from RefSeq and is a predicted model, not a curated record. NCBI's taxonomy places the organism in Eukaryota, Metazoa, Chordata, Actinopteri, Salmoniformes, Salmonidae.